AAACCCUGUCCAUAAUCUCCAAGUGUUUACAAUGAGAAGUUGUCAAUGCUUCCAAAUUCAGGGAGGGGCCUGGACAUUGUGCUUAAUCUUCUAAGGUGCUAAAACCUGUCUAUUAAUUUACCACCUUAUUGUUAAUUCUCUAGCAUAAGAGAGCUUCCAAGAUUCACCCCAGUUCCAACUCCAGCCAUUGUGUAGGGAGUGAUAUCUUUAUGAUAAAAUCUGACCUCAUGUUGUCUACCCUCAGGAAUGAGACAUGUAUAACCAUCUGGAAUUUCUUGGCUUUGACCUGACAAGUUUCCUUGUCUUCAGGAUGGUUGUUGUAUUUACGCCUACCAUCAUGUCUUCCUAGUCCCAUUCGACAAUUGGGAAGUGGAACAUUUAACAUCUUGCUCACCUUCUAUGUGACCCCUUCAUACCACACCUCCGUUGGGAGAAAAAACAAACAGCACAGAGCUGAGAACUAUCAAGGAUUGAGGACCAGGUAAUCCUUUCAGAACUGCUCUAACCUGAUACUCCCUAAGAUGGGAUUUUGUUAAUUUUGAGAAAACUAAAAUCUCCCUUUCUUUUCUUCAUUUUCCCUAUUCCUUUUGCCUAUUCUAACCACUUAAUAAUUGUAAAUAUUUUACAGUCAUCCCUCACUAUCUGCAGGGGACUGGUUCUAGAACCACCCCCCAAAUACCAAAAUCCACAGAUACUCAAGC
This 701-nucleotide long non-coding RNA is filed under the name Sus scrofa (pig). RNAcentral's name for it is "lncRNA (ENSSSCG00025031412.1)". Lineage: Eukaryota; Metazoa; Chordata; Mammalia; Artiodactyla; Suidae. The record is from RNAcentral.